This 460-nucleotide ribosomal RNA is filed under the name uncultured bacterium. RNAcentral describes it as "partial 16S ribosomal RNA". It matches the Rfam family "Bacterial small subunit ribosomal RNA", at positions 338 to 795 of the family's 1533-position model. The record is from RNAcentral.
CCUACGGGUGGCAGCAGUGAGGAAUAUUGGUCAAUGGACGAGAGUCUGAACCAGCCAAGUAGCGUGAAGGAUGACUGCCCUAUGGGUUGUAAACUUCUUUUAUAUGGGAAUAAAACGUUCCACGUGUGGGAUUUUGUAUGUACCAUAUGAAUAAGGAUCGGCUAACUCCGUGCCAGCAGCCGCGGUAAUCCGGAGGAUCCGAGCGUUAUCCGGAUUUAUUGGGUUUAAAGGGAGCGUAGGUGGAUUGUUAAGUCAGUUGUGAAAGUUUGCGGCUCAACCGUAAAAUUGCAGUUGAAACUGGCAGUCUUGAGUACAGUAGAGGUGGGCGGAAUUCGUGGUGUAGCGGUGAAAUGCUUAGAUAUCACGAAGAACUCCGAUUGCGAAGGCAGUUCACUGGACUGCAACUGACACUGAGGCUCGAAAGUGUGGGUAUCAAACAGGAUUAGAUACCCUUGUAGUC